Molecule: ribosomal RNA, 463 nt
Filed under: uncultured bacterium
Lineage: Bacteria
Description: partial 16S ribosomal RNA
Rfam family: Bacterial small subunit ribosomal RNA
Source: RNAcentral
GAUGAACGCUGACAGAAUGCUUAACACAUGCAAGUCGAUGGGGAAGUGAUGCUUGCACCAUGGUAACCAUGGCGGACGGGUGAGUAACGCGUAAGGAACUUGCCUGCGGGACUGGGAUAACAGCAGGAAACUGCUGAUAAUACCGGAUAAGGUCAUUAAGCUGCAUAGCUUAGUGAUGAAAGGAGACGCCUGCGGAGAGCCUUGCGUCCUAUUAGCUAGUUGGAGGGGUAACGGCCCACCAAGGCGAAGAUAGGUAGCCGGCCUGAGAGGGUGGACGGCCACAAGGGGACUGAGAUACGGCCCUUACUCCUACGGGAGGCAGCAGUGGGGAAUAUUGGACAAUGGGGGCAACCCUGAUCCAGCAAUUCUGUGUGCACGAAGACGGUUUUCGGAUUGUAAAGUGCUUUCAGCAGGGAAGAAGGAAGUGACGGUACCUGCAGAAGAAGCGACGGCUAAAUACGUG